This 307-nucleotide long non-coding RNA is filed under the name Elaeis guineensis (African oil palm). RNAcentral's name for it is "long non-coding RNA (EGUI_LNC048416)". Lineage: Eukaryota; Viridiplantae; Streptophyta; Magnoliopsida; Arecales; Arecaceae. The record is from RNAcentral.
UACACCAAAACCCUACAUGCACUGUAUACGUCUGCAGUUGGAUUUGUUGGAUCAAGGCCUCCAGUGGUUGUGGGUUGGUCAUGACAAGAGGCUGCACUAUGGUGGAUUCUCGGGCUGCACCCUUUGACUAUGGUGAGAGGCCAUAGAGUUGUGUGCUCUUGUCCUUGCUAUACUCUCUUUCCUCUUCAAUUAGGCUGCUUGUCCUUCCUCUAGUACUAAUCUAUCACUAUAAGAUUUCGGUUGGAUGCUGAUGUGAACGAGGUUGAAUGCUGUCUGGAGAUUAGGAUGCUAAAGAGGAAACCUGCAC